AUAUCUCAUAUGGAGUGCUCGUAAUAGAUUUUAUUGGUAUCUAAAUCAGAAUAGUAAUUUUUAGGGUAUAUUCUCAUAAUGAGAAUUAAAAUUUAUAAAGUAUAUUAGAAAACACACCAUAUCUCAUAUGAAGUGUCAAUCUCUAGGUUAAGAUAUUAUUAACCUUCAAACAUCCAUAAGACUUAAUACCUUGCUUGCCCUG
This 202-nucleotide long non-coding RNA is filed under the name Elaeis guineensis (African oil palm). Its description in RNAcentral is "long non-coding RNA (EGUI_LNC066415)". The record is from RNAcentral. Lineage: Eukaryota; Viridiplantae; Streptophyta; Magnoliopsida; Arecales; Arecaceae.